This 72-nucleotide transfer RNA is filed under the name Podocnemis expansa. RNAcentral's name for it is "tRNA-Phe". It matches the Rfam family "tRNA". From Rfam's summary of the family: Transfer RNA (tRNA) molecules are approximately 80 nucleotides in length. Their secondary structure includes four short double-helical elements and three loops (D, anti-codon, and T loops). Lineage: Eukaryota; Metazoa; Chordata; Testudines; Podocnemididae. The record is from RNAcentral. RNAcentral also lists the same sequence under 1 other name.
GUCUUUGUAGCUUAUUAUCCAAAGCAUGGCACUGAAGAUGCCAAGAUAGAUACUCAAACCAUCUCAACGACA